Molecule: non-coding RNA, 73 nt
Organism: Hesseltinella vesiculosa
Lineage: Eukaryota; Fungi; Mucoromycota; Mucoromycetes; Mucorales; Cunninghamellaceae
Source: the annotation of a GenBank genome assembly
GCUCGUGUAGUCUAGUGGUUAUGAUGUCUGCUUUACACGCAGAAGGUCGUGAGUUCGAUCCUCACCGUGGGCA